RNAcentral lists this ribosomal RNA (501 nucleotides) under uncultured bacterium. RNAcentral's name for it is "partial 16S ribosomal RNA". It matches the Rfam family "Bacterial small subunit ribosomal RNA", at positions 29 to 523 of the family's 1533-position model. The record is from RNAcentral.
AUUGAACGCUGGCGGCAUGCCUUACACAUGCAAGUCGAACGGCAGCACGGGUGCUUGCACCUGGUGGCGAGUGGCGAACGGGUGAGUAAUACAUCGGAACGUACCUUAUCGCGGGGGAUAACGCAGCGAAAGCUGUGCUAAUACCGCAUACGCCCUGAGGGGGAAAGCGGGGGAUCGAAAGACCUCGCGCGAUUAGAGCGGCCGAUGCCUGAUUAGCUUGUUGGUGGGGUAAAAGCCCACCAAGGCGACGAUCAGUAGCUGGUCUGAGAGGACGAUCAGCCACACUGGGACUGAGACACGGCCCAGACUCCUACGGGAGGCAGCAGUGGGGAAUUUUGGACAAUGGGGGCAACCCUGAUCCAGCAGUGCCGCGUGAGUGAAGAAGGCCUUCGGGUUGUAAAGCUCUUUUGUCAGGGAAGAAACACCGGCUCUAACACAGUCCGGGAAUGACGGUACCUGAAGAAUAAGCACCGGCUAACUACGUGCCAGCCGCCGCGGUAA